CUGUACUUAUCAAGCUGAACAUAUCCUUAAUCAGACCACAGUGCUUGGAGCACAAUGGGCCCUUAAAAAUGGGGACAAGAGGGAAGAAGAAAGGAAGGCUGGGGCAAGCAAAAAGGAGAGCCAGAUUUCUUUGUCAAGUUUUAAAAGUAUCGCUGUACGGAAAUUUUACAGAAGAAAUUUUGAACACCACAGAUUUUUGCCUUUUGAGUUAUUAUUUGCAUUAACGUAAUAUUAACAGGGCAACAAUGUUUUUCGAUUUAUCAUGUGGUUAAGCAAAUUGUUAAACACAUUUGAUUACCGAAAACAGGGAAUAUGGUAGAAGAUCAAAGACAUGCCAGAAAUUUUUAUUUUAUGUGGGACACUCGGAAUUUAGUUGAGCCUGACAGAGUCCUGCUGGCUAACACCAAGGAGAGACUAUUGCUGGCCCCAUGCAAGUGGCUGGAAUAAUGGAAGUCAAGAAGGAAAUCUCCACAUGGUCGACACUUUGAAGUUGGUCAUAGAUAGGAAGUUAGAACAAACUCCAGUGGGUGAGGGGUCAUGAGUUUACCAGGAGAAGGUAACUUAAGACUGAAUGAACAAAAAGAAUUUGUGGUCACACGAAAAUAAGGAGCAAAACUUCAGGAACAGUCUGAGAUAACAAGAAGCUUUAUUUCCAAUAUAUGGGUCCCAUCCCAUUGUAACACUAAUUGAGAACUUCCCGUCUGGAGGAAAGAAGAGAAUGAAUGACAUGCAACAUUGGACCCUAAACAGAACCAAUGACAAACCUGUGAGCUCACAAGCACACUUCUGGAGAACCUGGCUACCAGAGAAGUGUUACUUCCAAGCUGUAAAAUCACUCAGCAGUCCCUGCAACUGAUGCAACCUUUACUUUAAGAGAAUAGGAGGACAUCAUGUUCAUAAAGAAACCUUGGAUCUCGAACGUACCUAAAAAGCAGCUUAAAGUCCUUGGAGCAAACAGUACAGCUGAGAAAUGUUACACCAGUUGGGUGUCAAUCCAUAAAACCCGUUCUAGAGAAAAUCGUGGAGAUGUUUAAAGACAUGAAGGCAAAGACAAAUUUUUCAACCAGAACCCUCAAGAAAUGUCACUUCUCUGUCUUGCCAAGAGAGAUCCAGCAUUUUUUCUACAUAAACAUCUGCUGGAAACAUUUUAAAGGGAGGCAUUUUAAAUAAUGACGUUUAUAGCUUCUUGGUCUUUAAUAAGUCUGAAAAAGAAGAAAAAUGAAUUUGUGAUACAUUCCUUCCCAAAGCAACUUUUCUUCACUGAUAUGCAUCAUAUUAGAUGAUCUAAAAGCGAAAAUAUUAACAUUAUGUUGGGGGAAAAUGAUUAAGAACAUUUCUCUGAACUGUCUGUAUCAAUCAUACCUGAGAGUCAGUCAUAAAUCACAGGUUCCUUAAACUCCAGAAACUCCA
Molecule: long non-coding RNA, 1410 nt
Organism: Homo sapiens (human)
Lineage: Eukaryota; Metazoa; Chordata; Mammalia; Primates; Hominidae
Product: long intergenic non-protein coding RNA 923
Source: Ensembl